GCCACAUGGAGGAAUCCUUGUGCGUUGCUGCUGGAAAUGCCGUGUCUCCUACCUUGUGUGUGUGUUAUUGAGUUAUAAACCACACAUACCUACUCCAAUAAUCAAUGAAGAAAUUGUGGAAUUAAAAGUGACUGGACUGAACUGUUGUCACCGACACCUCCACUGGUAUCAAGCCAGCCACCUACACAUCCCUCUCAAACCUCCUUUUCAAUAUGUUACAUUUCCACUGUUUAGAAACGAACAAUUUUCAGUUUUUGCUGUGAUUUCUGCUUCUUCUCGUUCGGGGAAAACACGGGCGCAUUGCGAUGUGGUAUACGGGAGAAAUGUACCUUCCGUGACAGAAUUUGUUUAUGUUUUGGCCUGUGUGUUAUCAACUGCCCAGUUGGACAGCCAGGUCGGGUUGCCAGAUAUACCUGUAGACAAGUAAGCCAGCACGCUACAGCUGUAGUACAGCCAUGGAAGCAGCAUACAAACUAACGGGAUCAACGGAGAUAGAUUCUACACGAC
This is a long non-coding RNA of Sander lucioperca (pikeperch), 507 nucleotides long. RefSeq lists it as uncharacterized. NCBI's taxonomy places the organism in Eukaryota, Metazoa, Chordata, Actinopteri, Perciformes, Percidae. The transcript has 2 exons. The record is from RefSeq and is a predicted model, not a curated record.